This 1160-nucleotide small RNA is filed under the name Pan troglodytes (chimpanzee). RNAcentral's name for it is "retained intron". Lineage: Eukaryota; Metazoa; Chordata; Mammalia; Primates; Hominidae. The record is from RNAcentral.
AAGCAGGCUGGCCGACGGGGCCGGAGCACAUCCUUGAAGGAGCGGCAGGCAGCACGGCCCCAGAAUGAGCGGGCCAACAGCCUGGACAACGAGCGCUGCCCGGACGCCCGGAGCCAGCUACAGGUGCAGGUGCAGAUCCCCAGGAAGACUGUGUAUGACCAGCUCAACCACAUCCUCAUCUCCGAUGACCAGCUUCCCGAAAACAUCAUCCUCGUCAACACCUCGGACUGGCAGGGGCAGUUCCUCUCCGACGUCCUGCAGAGGCACACGCUCCCCGUGGUGUGCACGUGCUCUCCUGCGGAUGUCCAGGCGGCCUUCAGCACCAUCGUCUCACGGAUACAGAGAUACUGCAACUGCAAUUCCCAGCCCCCGACCCCCGUGAAGAUCGCCGUGGCGGGAGCGCAGCAUUACCUCAGUGCCAUCCUGCGGCUCUUUGUGGAGCAGCUGUCCCACAAGACACCCGACUGGCUCGGCUACAUGCGCUUCCUGGUCAUCCCGCUGGGCUCCCACCCCGUGGCCAGGUACCUAGGCUCCGUGGACUACCGCUACAACAACUUCUUCCAGGACCUGGCCUGGAGAGACCUGUUCAACAAGCUGGAGGCCCAGAGUGCGGUACAGGACACGCCAGACAUUGUGUCACGCAUCACGCAGUACAUCGCAGGGGCCAACUGUGCCCACCAGCUCCCCAUCGCAGAGGCCAUGCUGACCUACAAGCAGAAGAGCCCUGACGAAGAGUCCUCCCAAAAGUUCAUUCCCUUUGUCGGGGUUGUGAAGGUUGGAAUUGUGGAGCCAUCCUCGGCCACAUCAGGUAACCCCAUCCCACCCUGAGGCCUUGUGAGUGGCCCAUGGGUGGGCUGCAGGAGCACGGUCACUCUGGUCCUGCAGACCAGAUCAACCCUUCAGGGCCUGAGAGCCGCCACGUCCCAGUCUUGCUGUGGUGCUUCUGUUCUGUGGGGGGUUCAUCCUCCAGGGACUGCUGUCACAAAGCCCCACAUCAAGGCUGGCAGGGUUGUCUUCCAAAAACCGAGGAGAAUCCGAGACCCUCCCGUCUCUCACAGGCCACUGGGGACUCCCGCCCUGCCCACCCCCAGGGGCUGCCUGGCCUUCUGGCCACAUCCUGGUCCGGAGGGCCUGGUGGCACCCGGGCAGAGCAGCAGGUG